AAUAGAUACCCAGGUAGUCCACGCCGUAAACGAUGAGUGCUAAGUGUUAGAGGGUUUCCGCCCUUUAGUGCUGCAGCUAACGCAUUAAGCACUCCGCCUGGGGAGUACGGUCGCAAGACUGAAACUCAAAGGAAUUGACGGGGGCCCGCACAAGCGGUGGAGCAUGUGGUUUAAUUCGAAGCAACGCGAAGAACCUUACCAGGUCUUGACAUCCUCUGACAACUCUAGAGAUAGAGCGUUCCCCUUCGGGGGACAGAGUGACAGGUGGUGCAUGGUUGUCGUCAGCUCGUGUCGUGAGAUGUUGGGUUAAGUCCCGCAACGAGCGCAACCCUUGAUCUUAGUUGCCAGCAUUCAGUUGGGCACUCUAAGGUGACUGCCGGUGACAAACCGGAGGAAGGUGGGGAUGACGUCAAAUCAUCAUGCCCCUUAUGACCUGGGCUACACACGUGCUACAAUGGAUGGUACAAAGGGCUGCAAGACCGCGAGGUCAAGCCAAUCCCAUAAAACCAUUCUCAGUUCGGAUUGU
RNAcentral lists this ribosomal RNA (526 nucleotides) under uncultured bacterium. RNAcentral describes it as "bacterial SSU rRNA". It matches the Rfam family "Bacterial small subunit ribosomal RNA", at positions 777 to 1301 of the family's 1533-position model. The record is from RNAcentral.